RNAcentral lists this ribosomal RNA (431 nucleotides) under uncultured bacterium. RNAcentral describes it as "partial 16S ribosomal RNA". It matches the Rfam family "Bacterial small subunit ribosomal RNA", at positions 29 to 507 of the family's 1533-position model. The record is from RNAcentral.
AUGAACGCUGGCGGUAUGCUUAACACAUGCAAGUCGAACGGUCACUUCGGUGAUAGUGGCGGACAGGUGAGUAACGCGUGAGAAUCUGUCUUCAGGUCGGGGACAACAGUUAGAAAUGACUGCUAAUACCGGAUGUGCCUUUGGGUGAAAGAUUUAUUGCCUGAAAAAGAGCUCGCGUCAGAUUAGCUAGUAGGUGGUGUAAGAGACUACCUAGGCUCCGAUCUGUAGCUGGUCUGAGAGGACGAUCAGCCACACUGGAACUGAGACACGGUCCAGACUCCUACGGGAGGCAGCAGUGGGGAAUUUUCCGCAAUGGGCGAAAGCCUGACGGAGCAAUACCGCGUGAGGGACGAAGGCUUUUGGGUCGUAAACCUCUUUUCUCAAGGAAGAUGAUGACGGUACUUGAGGAAUAAGCAUCGGCUAACUCUGUG